AGUGGACGAACCUCUGGUGUUCGGGUUGUCACGCCAGUGGCAUUGCCCGGUAGCUAUGUUCGGACAGGAUAACCGCUGAAAGCAUCUAAGCGGGAAGCCUCUCCCAAGAUGAGUUCUCCCUGACCCCUUGAGGGUCCUGAAGGGCCGUCCGAGACCAGGACGUUGAUAGGCUGGGUGUGUAAGCGUUGUAAGGCGUUGAGCUAACCAGUACUAAUGGCCCGUGAGGCUUGACCAU
RNAcentral lists this ribosomal RNA (235 nucleotides) under Halioglobus sp. Its description in RNAcentral is "partial 23S ribosomal RNA". It matches the Rfam family "Bacterial large subunit ribosomal RNA", at positions 2696 to 2925 of the family's 2925-position model. The record is from RNAcentral. Lineage: Bacteria; Pseudomonadati; Pseudomonadota; Gammaproteobacteria; Cellvibrionales; Halieaceae.